GAUGAAGAACGUAGCGAAAUGCGAUAAGUAGUGUGAAUUGCAGAAUUCAGUGAAUCAUCGAAUCUUUGAACGCACAUUGCGCCCUUUGGUAUUCCUUAGGGCAUGCCUGUUCGAGCGUCAUUUCAACCCUCAAGCCCUGCUUGGUGUUGGGCGUUUGUCCUGCCUCCGCGCGGGACUCGCCUCAAAGACAUUGGCGGCCGGUUUCCCUUUGCAGGCCACGAGCGCAGCACAGCGAGCGCUCUACGUGGACGCGGGGUCGGCGCACCAGAAGCCCUCUUUCUCGAAUUUUGACCUCGGAUCAGGUAGGGAUACCCGCUGAACUUAAGCAUAUCAUAAGCGGAGGA
This 344-nucleotide unclassified non-coding RNA is filed under the name soil metagenome. RNAcentral describes it as "partial contains 5.8S ribosomal RNA, internal transcribed spacer 2, and large subunit ribosomal RNA". The stretch from base 1 to 120 matches the Rfam family "5.8S ribosomal RNA", at positions 35 to 154 of the family's 154-position model. The record is from RNAcentral.